AGACCCGAAACCCGGUGAUCUAGCCAUGGGCAGGUUGAAGGUUGGGUAACACUAACUGGAGGACCGAACCGACUAAUGUUGAAAAAUUAGCGGAUGACCUGUGGCUGGGGGUGAAAGGCCAAUCAAACCGGGAGAUAGCUGGUUCUCCCCGAAAGCUAUUUAGGUAGCGCCUCGUGAAUUCAUCUCCGGGGGUAGAGCACUGUUUCGGCUAGGGGGCCAUCCCGGCUUACCAACCCGAUGCAAACUGCGAAUACCGGAGAAUGUUAUCACGGGAGACACACGGCGGGUGCUAACGUCCGUCGUGAAGAGGGAAACAACCCAGACCGCCAGCUAAGGUCCCAAAGUCAUGGUUAAGUGGGAAACGAUGUGGGAAGGCCCAGACAGCCAGGAUGUUGGCUUAGAAGCAGCCAUCAUUUAAAGAAAGCGUAAUAGCUCACUGGUCGAGUCGGCCUGCGCGGAAGAUGUAACGGGGCUAAACCAUGCACCGAAGCUGCGGCAGCGACGCUGAUGCGUUGUUGGGUAGGGGAGCGUUCUGUAAGCCUGUGAAGGUGGCCUGUGAGGGUUGCUGGAGGUAUCAGAAGUGCGAAUGCUGACAUAAGUAACGAUAAAGCGGGUGAAAAGCCCGCUCGCCGGAAGACCAAGGGUUCCUGUCCAACGUUAAUCGGGGCAGGGUGAGUCGACCCCUAAGGCGAGGCCGAAAGGCGUAGUCGAUGGGAAACGGGUUAAUAUUCCCGUACUUGGUGUUACUGCGAAGGGGGGACGGAGAAGGCUAUGUUGGCCGGGCGACGGUUGUCCCGGUUUAAGCGUGUAGGUGUGUGUUCCAGGUAAAUCCGGUUCACUUUAACACUGAGGCGUGACGACGAGGCACUACGGUGCUGAAGCAACAAAUGCCCUGCUUCCAGGAAAAGCCUCUAAGCAUCAGGUAACAUCAAAUCGUACCCCAAACCGACACAGGUGGUCAGGUAGAGAAUACCAAGGCGCUUGAGAGAACUCGGGUGAAGGAACUAGGCAAAAUGGUGCCGUAACUUCGGGAGAAGGCACGCUGACAUGUAGGUGAAGUGAUUUACUCAUGGAGCUGAAGUCAGUCGAAGAUACCAGCUGGCUGCAACUGUUUAUUAAAAACACAGCACUGUGCAAACACGAAAGUGGACGUAUACGGUGUGACGCCUGCCCGGUGCCGGAAGGUUAAUUGAUGGGGUCAGCGCAAGCGAAGCUCCUGAUCGAAGCCCCGGUAAACGGCGGCCGUAACUAUAACGGUCCUAAGGUAGCGAAAUUCCUUGUCGGGUAAGUUCCGACCUGCACGAAUGGCGUAAUGAUGGCCAGGCUGUCUCCACCCGAGACUCAGUGAAAUUGAACUCGCUGUGAAGAUGCAGUGUACCCGCGGCAAGACGGAAAGACCCCGUGAACCUUUACUAUAGCUUGACACUGAACAUUGAGCCUUGAUGUGUAGGAUAGGUGGGAGGCUUUGAAGUGUGGACGCCAGUCUGCAUGGAGCCGACCUUGAAAUACCACCCUUUAAUGUUU
Molecule: ribosomal RNA, 1524 nt
Filed under: Salmonella enterica subsp. enterica serovar Gaminara
Lineage: Bacteria; Pseudomonadati; Pseudomonadota; Gammaproteobacteria; Enterobacterales; Enterobacteriaceae
Description: partial 23S ribosomal RNA
Rfam family: Bacterial large subunit ribosomal RNA
Source: RNAcentral